This is a long non-coding RNA of Corvus hawaiiensis (hawaiian crow), 2080 nucleotides long. RefSeq lists it as uncharacterized. The transcript is spliced from 6 exons. Lineage: Eukaryota; Metazoa; Chordata; Aves; Passeriformes; Corvidae. The record is from RefSeq and is a predicted model, not a curated record.
UUACUGACUAACAUGAGUGAGUUUACUCCUGGACUGGCUUUUAUACUCUGCUUCAGGCCACGAUACUUUUCUGCACCCCACCACCUUCCUGGAGGACACAGGCUGGUUCAGAUGGUCCCCCAAGAAGACCCAUCAUGUUAACAGGCAUGAAAAAUCCUGGAUCUGCAAAUAGCAGUUGUGAGAAUGCACCAUUUAUUUACACCAAAUUAACUGAGUGAAUUUCCAUUGGACUGAAGUUCCAUCAAAUACCUGAAUAACACUAAAUGUAGAUGGUUGCAGAGAGCCACAGUUCUAUUUUCUAACUACCAGCAAUGUAUGAUCAGUGGAAAUUAGAAGACUCCAGUAACAUCAGUAAAAAUGCUGCUCAUCUUCCCUUGCUCACUUGACUCCUCUCUGGCACUGGACAGCCUGGGAGGGAUUACAGCUCCCAAAGGCUUCAAGACCCAGGGAAUUUUUCUUUCCCAGUUCACCAGAGACAAAAAGAAGCAGAUUUUCUGCACCAGGAGCACCCUCACCUCCCUGCCCAAAACAGCCAGGCUGCAAUUCCCUGCCCUUUGUCCAGCCAGAAGGGAGACUGAGCAUGAAUUCCUAACAAACACACACCCAGAACUCUCCAGGAGCUGGUGAACCGCUGCUCCCAGCAGUCUUGUCCUUUCCUCACCUUGACCUUUGAUUUUCUCUGUCUUGGCCAUCUCCAAAAUAAUAAUAAAAAAACCAAAACCUUUAUGAUAAUGUGAAAAUAACCAAAAAUAGGUAUGUGACAGUCCUCUUUUAUAUAAAAAUUUAGGAUGAAAAAGCUGACUUUCACUCCUGUAUUAGAUAGUUAUUUCAUUUUAUCUGAGCUUUUCCAAUACCUGCUGGAAAUGCAAUCUGGGCAGGACCUGCAUCAGUGCCUUCCAUACAAACCACCCCAGUGCUUCAUGAAUGUGAGGUUGAGUCAUUCAUUUGGAUGCAUUGUUUUGGAAGCUGGAAGAGGAACAAUAGCCCUUUGAUGAAAAGUUCUAGAAUUUUGGGGGCCGACCCACUCAGCUGUGAUCGUAUUUUCACUGGCUUGGAGAAUACAGCUUGCCCUUCCAAAAGCAAUUUUGUAUAUUGAUGAUAUACUAAGAAGUAUACAGAUUUCCAGACAUGAGUGAUUUCUUUGUCUCUUUGUGUAACAUACCCAGUUGUCAAGGAUAUUGUGGUAUUUUUAAUGCACCCUACUGCUUUGAAAAGAUAAAGUAAAAUAAAUAAAUAAAAUAUUAUGCUUUAAAUUUGCUUUUCAAAAGAAAAAGAAGCAGAACACAGUGUCUCAAAGGACUAAUCCCAACUGAAAGCUCUUCAUGAGAAAAACAUAAAAGCCUUUAGGUUGUUUGCAUUCCCUUUAUAUUUUUUUUUAAAAUUGUACUCUUUUGUAAAUAAUUUAUAAAUAAUAAUUGAGAGAAUUUUGUUGUCUUUAACCACAUUAUCCCAAGAGUAAUGUUGAGAGCUCUAUUGAUCAAAAUGUGAUUAAGAACAUAAAAUAAUAACAGGAUUUGUCCUACUUUUUCUUCAUCCGGGCUCAGAAUAGUGGUAAUUUAUGCUAUAUUGUUACUAAAACACUCAUUUUCCCCUUACAUUAGUUAUGAGGCAACAUGGAGAGUUCACAAGACAUAAAUGACAGCCAAGCAAUAAUUCUGAAUACACUUUUGGCAUUGCCAGCUGUACUGGUAGGUCUGGCACAGCUGUUGCUCUGCUUCAGCUUUUUGUUUGUUUUCUCGUUUCCUAAAGAAACUCUUUUCAAAGGUCACCCCGCCAACAAUAAUCUCAUUGGGAAUUCACAUGGGCAGUGGACAACAGCCAGUCCAUCUAAUCCUCAUUUUUUUCAGGUGUUUACUGAGACCAAAAGCACCUGUAGCUUCACUCAUGACUUCUCAUGAGUCCUAGAAACAUCUAUAAACUUAGUGUGGACUAACUAAAGUUGCUGCAUUGAAUUAAUCUUUACCUAACACUUAGGCCUCUCACGAGCUCUGGUUCAAACUCUUGUGAGUGUCUACAGAAUGUACAUUGCAAAACAUGUUCUGGCAUUUCCUGGUCUUCACCCAAAAGUAAUUAAUAAAUU